Molecule: long non-coding RNA, 2075 nt
Organism: Mesocricetus auratus (golden hamster)
Lineage: Eukaryota; Metazoa; Chordata; Mammalia; Rodentia; Cricetidae
Exons: 5
Source: RefSeq, a predicted model, not a curated record
GAAAUCAAGCUCUAAAUCCAGGACAGAGGACAUCUUUGCUCUCUCCUCACGUCCCACGGCAAUGGGAGACUCUUUUGUGGGCUGCCCCAAUGCCCUGCAGCCGCAGUCAUUGCUACCAGAGCCAGCUGUGCCUCAGAGGUGCCAGGCCUACACAGGCCCAAGCAGUCAGCUACGCACUCUGUCCAGGCUCAGAGGCUCAGUGCUCCUUGGGUUCCUGAUGUCCCCUGACGUCACCGGUCCUUCACUGAACCUGGAGCUCACUGACUGGCAGAUUAGUUGGCCAGUAAGUUCCCACCGUAAGCAGUAAGUGUCUGCUUACAUCUACAACCCCCACCAGGGUUACAGAUGCCCUGGCCUUUCUGUGUGUGCUAGGGACCCAAACGCAGAGCCUCAUGCUUGCUCCGUGAGUUUAAUGCACACGUUGACCAAUGCUAAAGGGCGGUGGAGCUAAGCAGAAUCGGCCAGGAAGGCUUCCAGGGUGGAGACUGGGGAGUGAGAGGAGAACCAGGAGACACGUGAAAGCCAUGUGAGUAGGGAUGCCCAUUUGAGACAAGAGGCCCCUCAUCCCAGCGCCCUGAGCACCACUUGGUUGGGAUGGUGGGGGUGAGAGCUAACCCUGCUACUCCUUAUAGUUCUGGUGAGGGUCUUGACAUCUCGCUGAUCCCAUGAGCAGAAACACAAACUUCCAACAAGACUAUCAGGACCCAGAAGAAGCACCACAGAGGGUACAAUGGCCCCAGUGAUUCAAGAUGGCAUCCGUCAGGCCUUGUAUGUGACUCCAGUGCCCGAGUGACCGGUGGGAGGGGUAAAGGUCCCUAGGACGGAAGACUUCGAGACUCACUGACCACACCUUGCAUUGGCAGUGAUGUAACCAUCUGCUGUUACAAUGGCAGUGACAGUAUGCCAAGUUACUCCUCAAAAAGGCAUGGCCCUCACCUUGCUGCCUCAGAAGACCACCACUGAAGCAAAUCACUUGUGAUACUCAGUCAAAGCGGACACUCCACCUCCUGGGGCUUUCAGUUUGGUGGCAGGAAGCGGGAAGGGUGCAGCCUUCAAGAUAGAUUUCCUGUAGUAUUCAAAGUCUGUCCAACAAAUCCUCGGUGUGAGCCAGCGAUCCAACAGAUCCACAGUAUGGUAUUUGGUGUGUGAAGACUUAUGGAGAUCACCUCUGCUGAUUUUCACGGACAGCCUCCCACUGUGGCCUGUGGGUCACAUCAGAUCAUGUCUCCGUCUGGACUGGCUGUGUAACGCGGACCUGGCUGCUUAUCUGUCUUACUACCUCCGUCCCGUGCCUACAGAGCUGGACCUCUGGUGAGGACGGGGUCUUGAUGCUGCUGGUCUGCGCCAUUGGUACCCGCCUGGCUCUGGAAGGGACUUCAGGAGAUCAAGGAGGCAAUGUGCUGCGUGUGCACUUCUGUGUGGGAGGGUAGCCAAAGCCUAUGUGCGCCAGUGUUUUCAAGCUGUGGUAAAUAUUAACAGGGCAGUGGGAGCCAGGCCCUCUGGGAGGCCUAGGCUCCCCAGUGGGGAGGAAAGGAGAUAAAGCUGUGUACCUUAGAUAGGGCUUCCAACCCGGCCUCCGAAGCUGCAGCACCCAGCCUGCCGGGGACAUACAGGGAGGACUUCUGUUCCCAGAACCAAGAUGCCUCGCCUUGCCGGGAGAUUCUCAGAACUCCCAGACCGCAGAAGCACCGCUCGCCUUUGUGUUUCCCGUGCCUCACCCCGCUUCUCCAAGCUCCGCCUCAUGGCCCACAGUCUGCACCUCCUGUCUCACUCUCCUCUGGGCACAGUUCAUCUGAACUUGAGGGCGCAGGAAACAGAUUCCAUUCAGAUAAUUUAAAAAAAUCCUCCCACCAGGGUUGGGAGAUGUACCUCAGAUGGUAGUGUGCGUGUCUAGCACGCAGUUUGCUCUCAAGUACUUCAGAGGCUGGCGUGGUGGUGCAUGUCCAUGAUCCUGGCAUUUGGGAGGUAGGGGCAGGAGGACCAGAAGUUCAAGGGAAUCCUCUGUUACAUAGUCAGUCUGAGGCUAGCCUGGGCUACACGAGCCAAACAAAUAAACAAACAUCCCACAAAGUAAA